Molecule: transfer RNA, 69 nt
Filed under: Marmota marmota marmota (Alpine marmot)
Lineage: Eukaryota; Metazoa; Chordata; Mammalia; Rodentia; Sciuridae
Also listed under: 3 other names
Rfam family: tRNA
About the family: Transfer RNA (tRNA) molecules are approximately 80 nucleotides in length. Their secondary structure includes four short double-helical elements and three loops (D, anti-codon, and T loops).
Source: Rfam by way of RNAcentral
UGGUACAUAGCUCAGUGGUAGAGUGCAUGCUCAGCAUGCAUAGGACCUGAGUUCAAUUCUCAAUACCAA